AACAAACAACCCACCUGGACUCCCUCUCUAUCCAAUCCCCCCAAUGUCAACCACGCAGCCCCGCGAUCCCCUUCCUCAAGCCCCACCGUCGACGGCGAGGGUUCCGCCCGUGCAGCCGCCCCCGCCGAUUCCACGGCAGAUCAGGCCCCUGGCCUCGCGAGCCGCGCCGGCGCGGUGGUGCUCCACCAAAUCCACCAUGUCGAGCCCUCGCUCCCGAUCUGCUGUCCCCAACCGCGCCGGCGGCCGGCCUUACCCCUCCACCAAACCUUCUCCACCUCAGAUCCCUAGUCAUGGCGGCGCCUUAUCUCACUGCCGGCAACGCUCCGGCGCGGCCGGUUCGCCUCCCGCCGUUAUGAGCUCCAGGAGGCAGCGCAAAGAAAAAGGUCGGAUUUUUAUCCCCGCGACGCCAAGGCGGUGCCAGAUCCGUGGGCGGCGGCGUCGGCACGGACGUCAAGGCGGUGGUGCUCCCCAAAUCCCCAGUCGUUCCCUUCGAUUCCCCAAUCCCCAAGCCCUCGCCGGCGCCUGCGCCGCGUCUCUACUCACCGCCGCGGCGGGACAAGGAGGAGCAGCAGGCGGCUCAAGACUCAAGACGGCAGAACGACGAGGAGCAGCAGCAGAGGCGCAGGGCUGCGGCGCGAUGAGUAGCAGCAGUCGUUCAAGGCGACGACGAGGAGCAGCGGCUAAGGCGAGAAGACUUUAGGGCUUUGUGGAGUCUUCUUUGUGUAUUCUAGGAACAGAGUAAGUGCUGAAACUAAAGAAGAUCCACCUACUCGAUCUUUUUGUAUGCUGGAACUAAAGAAGAUUUUUUCCCAACUCUGUGAUUGUAUAUUCUGAUCUGCUUCUGUUCCUAGAA
Brachypodium distachyon (stiff brome) is the source of this 853-nucleotide long non-coding RNA. RefSeq lists it as uncharacterized. NCBI's taxonomy places the organism in Eukaryota, Viridiplantae, Streptophyta, Magnoliopsida, Poales, Poaceae. The transcript is spliced from 2 exons. The record is from RefSeq and is a predicted model, not a curated record.